This 578-nucleotide ribosomal RNA is filed under the name bacterium enrichment culture. Its description in RNAcentral is "bacterial SSU rRNA". It matches the Rfam family "Bacterial small subunit ribosomal RNA", at positions 22 to 595 of the family's 1533-position model. The record is from RNAcentral.
GCUCAGAUUGAACGCUGGCGGCAUGCCUUACACAUGCAAGUCGAACGGCAGCGCGGGAGCAAUCCUGGCGGCGAGUGGCGAACGGGUGAGUAAUACAUCGGAACGUGCCCAAUCGUGGGGGAUAACGCAGCGAAAGCUGUGCUAAUACCGCAUACGAUCUACGGAUGAAAGCAGGGGAUCGCAAGACCUUGCGCGAAUGGAGCGGCCGAUGGCAGAUUAGGUAGUUGGUGAGGUAAAGGCUCACCAAGCCUUCGAUCUGUAGCUGGUCUGAGAGGACGACCAGCCACACUGGGACUGAGACACGGCCCAGACUCCUACGGGAGGCAGCAGUGGGGAAUUUUGGACAAUGGGCGCAAGCCUGAUCCAGCCAUGCCGCGUGCAGGAUGAAGGCCUUCGGGUUGUAAACUGCUUUUGUACGGAACGAAACGGCCUUUUCUAAUAAAGAAGGCUAAUGACGGUACCGUAAGAAUAAGCACCGGCUAACUACGUGCCAGCAGCCGCGGUAAUACGUAGGGUGCAAGCGUUAAUCGGAAUUACUGGGCGUAAAGCGUGCGCAGGCGGUUAUGUAAGACAGUUGU